This 252-nucleotide ribosomal RNA is filed under the name uncultured bacterium. RNAcentral's name for it is "partial 16S ribosomal RNA". It matches the Rfam family "Bacterial small subunit ribosomal RNA", at positions 524 to 776 of the family's 1533-position model. The record is from RNAcentral.
UACGUAGGUCCCGAGCGUUGUCCAGAUUUAUUGCGCGUAAAGCGAGCGCAGGUGGUUUAUUAAGUCUGGUGUAAAAGGCAGUGGCUCAACCAUUGUAUGCAUUGGAAACCGGUAGACUUGAGUGCAGGAGAGGAGAGUGGAAUUCCAUGUGUAGCGGUGAAAUGCGUAGAUAUAUGGAGGAACACCGGUGGCGAAAGCGGCUCUCUGGCCUGUAACUGACACUGAGGCUCGAAAGCGUGGGGAGCAAACAGG